Molecule: ribosomal RNA, 98 nt
Filed under: Escherichia coli
Lineage: Bacteria; Pseudomonadati; Pseudomonadota; Gammaproteobacteria; Enterobacterales; Enterobacteriaceae
Also listed under: 1 other name
Description: partial 16S ribosomal RNA
Rfam family: Bacterial small subunit ribosomal RNA
Source: RNAcentral
UUAAAUUGAAGAGUUUGAUCAUGGCUCAGAUUGAACGCUGGCGGCAGGCCUAACACAUGCAAGUCGAACGGUAACAGGAAGAAGCUUGCUUCUUUGCU